UUGGAGAACAGAAAAUUUAAUGAGCUUUUAAUGGAAUGCAAUGCUCAGAGUAGUAAAUUAUUUGUUAGUUGAGGAUGCAAUCAGCAUGCUGAUUAAGGUUGCUUGGUUUUUUACUAAACAUUAACUGAAUGAAAACGGUUAUUCCUUGUUGUUCUGCUUGGGGGGCUUUCUCGAAGCAAAUGGACUUUCAGACCAGAGAUUGUCAAUAAAGGCUCUAUGGAAGAUGCCACUUGGAGAUGUUGCCCUCAUCUGAGUCACUUGCAGGCUGCAGUGGGCUUUCUUGGGACAUACAGCAUUUGGCCUAAUGCACAUGUUCAAGGAAACCCUUGGUCUGGGAACAUCUAUGUCCGCCUGUGAAAACUCCGUGGUCAGACUAACAGCUACAACUAGUUCUGCUUCUCCAAAUAUGCCUUCACAUCAGUCUCUGCUCAGCAAGCUGGUGUUACACAC
Cuculus canorus (common cuckoo) is the source of this 450-nucleotide long non-coding RNA. RefSeq lists it as uncharacterized. Lineage: Eukaryota; Metazoa; Chordata; Aves; Cuculiformes; Cuculidae. The transcript has 3 exons. The record is from RefSeq and is a predicted model, not a curated record.